UACAGAGGGUGCGAGCGUUAAUCGGAAUUACUGGGCGUAAAGCGUGCGUAGACGGCUAUCUAAGUCGGGUGUGAAAGCCCCGGGCUCAACCUGGGAAUUGCAUUCGAGACUGAAUAGCUAGGGUGCGGUAGAGGGAAGCGGAAUUUCCGCUGUAGCGGUGAAAUGCGUAGAUAUCGGAAGGAACAUCAGUGGCGAAAGCGGCUUCCUGGACCAGCACCGACGUUCAGGCACGAAAGCGUGGGGAGCAAACAGG
RNAcentral lists this ribosomal RNA (253 nucleotides) under uncultured bacterium. RNAcentral's name for it is "partial 16S ribosomal RNA". It matches the Rfam family "Bacterial small subunit ribosomal RNA", at positions 524 to 776 of the family's 1533-position model. The record is from RNAcentral.